AGUGAACGCUGGCGGUAGGCCUAACACAUGCAAGUCGAACGGCAGCACAGUAAGAGCUUGCUCUUACGGGUGGCGAGUGGCGGACGGGUGAGGAAUACAUCGGAAUCUACUUUUUCGUGGGGGAUAACGUAGGGAAACUUACGCUAAUACCGCAUACGACCUACGGGUGAAAGCAGGGGAUCUUCGGACCUUGCGCGAUUGAAUGAGCCGAUGUCGGAUUAGCUAGUUGGCGGGGUAAAGGCCCACCAAGGCGACGAUCCGUAGCUGGUCUGAGAGGAUGGUCAGCCACACUGGAACUGGGACACGGUCCAGACUCCUACGGGAGGCAGCAGUGGGGAAUAUUGGACAAUGGGCGCAAGCCUGAUCCAGCCAUACCGCGUGGGUGAAGAAGGCCCUCGGGUUGUAAAGCCCUUUUGUUGGGAAAGAAAAGCAGCAGGUUAAUACCCCGCUGUUCUGACGGUACCCAAAGAAUAAGCACCGGCUAACUUCGUG
Molecule: ribosomal RNA, 492 nt
Filed under: uncultured bacterium
Lineage: Bacteria
Description: partial 16S ribosomal RNA
Rfam family: Bacterial small subunit ribosomal RNA
Source: RNAcentral